RNAcentral lists this transfer RNA (76 nucleotides) under Cyanobacteria bacterium UBA8803. RNAcentral describes it as "tRNA-Phe". It matches the Rfam family "tRNA". From Rfam's summary of the family: Transfer RNA (tRNA) molecules are approximately 80 nucleotides in length. Their secondary structure includes four short double-helical elements and three loops (D, anti-codon, and T loops). Further hydrogen bonds mediate the characteristic L-shaped molecular structure. tRNAs have two regions of fundamental functional importance: the anti-codon, which is responsible for specific mRNA codon recognition, and the 3' end, to which the tRNAs corresponding amino acid is attached (by aminoacyl-tRNA synthetases). tRNAs cope with the degeneracy of the genetic code in two manners: having more than one tRNA (with a specific anti-codon) for a particular amino acid; and 'wobble' base-pairing, i.e. permitting non-standard base-pairing at the 3rd anti-codon position. The record is from RNAcentral. Lineage: Bacteria; Bacillati; Cyanobacteriota. RNAcentral also lists the same sequence under 1 other name.
GGCCGAAUAGCUGAGUUGGUUUUAGCGCUGCCCUGAAAAGGCAGAGACCCCUGUUCAAAUCAGGGUUUGGCCAUCA